UAAAUAUAGUAAGUCUUCUCUUAUUUUCAUACAAAAGUAUACUAUAAAUUCAAAUUGCAUUCAAUUUUCAAAUAUAAAUAAAAUUGCAUUUUUUGUCAGUUUUACAAGCAUCACACCCGUCUCAAAGUACAAAGGUUGAAGUACAAGAUUAAGUAUUCUACAAGUAACUGGAGUAAAAGUAUUGCCAUGAGAAAAUUGUCAAACUUAAAGAUUAACCAUGAAAAUCUAAAGCAUCAAGUGCAAGCAAAUGGGUGGCAAGCAUGGCUUUGAUUUCACACGUAGGCGCUAUGUUUACAUAUGUACAUGUUGUCCAUAUUUUGCUUUGCUUCAUAUAUUAGGAGUUCAUCCCUAGCUAGCCUAUAACUUUGAUUGAAAA
Molecule: long non-coding RNA, 376 nt
Organism: Pyrus x bretschneideri (Chinese white pear)
Lineage: Eukaryota; Viridiplantae; Streptophyta; Magnoliopsida; Rosales; Rosaceae
Exons: 3
Source: RefSeq, a predicted model, not a curated record